Molecule: ribosomal RNA, 465 nt
Filed under: uncultured Klebsiella sp.
Lineage: Bacteria; Pseudomonadati; Pseudomonadota; Gammaproteobacteria; Enterobacterales; Enterobacteriaceae
Description: bacterial SSU rRNA
Rfam family: Bacterial small subunit ribosomal RNA
Source: RNAcentral
CCUACGGGAGGCAGCAGUGGGGAAUAUUGCACAAUGGGCGCAAGCCUGAUGCAGCCAUGCCGCGUGUGUGAAGAAGGCCUUCGGGUUGUAAAGCACAUUCAGCGGGGAGGAAGGCGUUAAGGUUAAUAACCUUGGCGAUUGACGUUACCCGCAGAAGAAGCACCGGCUAACUCCGUGCCAGCAGCCGCGGUAAUACGGAGGGUGCAAGCGUUAAUCGGAAUUACUGGGCGUAAAGCGCACGCAGGCGGUCUGUCAAGUCGGAUGUGAAAUCCCCGGGCUCAACCAGGGAACUGCAUUCGAAACUGGCAGGCUAGAGUCUUGUAGAGGGGGGUAGAAUUCCAGGUAUAGCGGUGAAAUGCGUAGAGAUCUGGAGGAAUACCGGUGGCGAAGGCGGCCCCCUGGACAAAGACUGACGCUCAGGUGCGAAAGCGUGGGGAGCAAACAGGAUUAGAUACCCGGGUAGUC